Dipodomys ordii (Ord's kangaroo rat) is the source of this 64-nucleotide non-coding RNA. Lineage: Eukaryota; Metazoa; Chordata; Mammalia; Rodentia; Heteromyidae. The record is from Rfam.
GGUGGCUCAGUGGUAGAGUGCUUGUCUUGCAUGCAUGAGGCCUGGGUUCGAUUCCUCAGCACCA